ACGGUACUUCACAACAACCUAGAGGAGCCUGUCUAAUAACCGAUACCCCACGAUUAACCCAACCCCCCCCAGCCUAACAGUCUAUAUACCGCCGUCGCCAGCUCACCUUGUGAAAGAAACAAAGUGAACUCAAUAGACCACCCCUAACACGACAGGUCGAGGUGUAACUAAUGGGCGGGAAUAAGAUGGGCUACAUUUUCUAAUAUAGAAAAUACGAAUAGACUAUGAAACUAGAAACUGAAGGCGGAUUUAGCAGUAUGGUAGNNNNAAAAUACCCACCUGAAACUAAUGNAAUGA
RNAcentral lists this ribosomal RNA (297 nucleotides) under Diadophis punctatus (Ringneck snake). RNAcentral's name for it is "partial 12S ribosomal RNA". Lineage: Eukaryota; Metazoa; Chordata; Lepidosauria; Squamata; Dipsadidae. The record is from RNAcentral.